This is a long non-coding RNA of Mustela lutreola (European mink), 1062 nucleotides long. RefSeq lists it as uncharacterized. Lineage: Eukaryota; Metazoa; Chordata; Mammalia; Carnivora; Mustelidae. The transcript is spliced from 3 exons. The record is from RefSeq and is a predicted model, not a curated record.
CCGGCCUGUUUUUUCCCAUUUGCUAGCGCUGCAGCGCUCACCGGAAUGGAGUGCAAGGGCGAGCCUGGGGAUUACAUGGGAAGUAAAAGUCACGGGGCCGCGUGAUUGAUUAGGUGGGGCGCGUGGAACAAGAUGAGGUUCAAUGGGAUUCCAAGAUUUUUCUAGUUUGAUUGAGGCGAUGGCUGAUCAUGCCACAGGUUUUAUUUAUUUGAGAGACGACAUGAGCUGGAGGGAAGGACAGAGGCAGAGGGAGAAGCAGGCUCCUCACCAAGCAGGGAGCCCGAUGUGGAGCUGGAUUCCAGGACCCUGAGAUCAUGACCUAAGCCGAAGGCAGACGCUUAACGGACUGAGCCACCGCAGACGGAUUUAAAUCCGAUCUCUAUGACCUCCUGGCUGUGUGACUUUAGGUUCCCCUCGGGUCCGCUCCACUCCGACAGCGACGUCACGUCACGUCAAGCGGGGCCUGCACAGGCCUCCGCUGACUCCGUCCUCUUAGCGGCAGUGACCUGCAAGAGCAUCUCCCCCGGGAGUUCCGGAAAGAAGCCUCAGCAUCGAGUUUCCAUUGGUUCCAAAUGCCCCGACCUCCGUCACAUGAUCAGCCAUAACCAAUCGCUGGCCAGCAACACUCUCAUGGGCUGGGCCUGAGUGGAUCACAUGACAUCUCCGGAAGUCAGCUUGCCGAGGACCCAACGGGGGCCAGUUCGGCCGCUUCCGGGGAGAAUCCCGGUUCUGCUCCAAAAGCUGAUGACAGGACAUUGGGCUUGGACCCUCCACGCAGGACAAUUGCGUGUUUUUGUGCCCGGAUUUCAGCUAGCUCCUCACUUCAUAAACGUGUUUGGGUUUAGUUCUACCCUAUUCAUUCUUUGAAAAGGUUUAUAAAUUCAGGAAAGGCGCACCGAGCAUCGACUGCCCGCGGAGCGUGUUCUUGCCGCGGCGGGCGCUGCAGAGCGGCCUCGGCCGGCACCCCUAGCUCCCGACUCCCUCCCUGGGAACUUGAGAAGGAGGCCUUCAGUCUCUGCUGACUCAGCCUGUCACCAGGGACCUCUGACACCCCCUGGCCUU